GUGGGAGUGAGUUGAACGUAGGAGACUCAUUUUUACUAUCACAGGGUGGAAAAAGAUUAUGACUUGGAGCUUGUUUGGGGACCCAGUUUUGUGGGUUCUGAGUGGCAAAGCUGAAUCUUCCCAGAAGAGGUAAAAGGGCACCACCAAGGCAGAACAGGCAGCUCAAAUGUGGUCCAAUAAGAGAAAUGGAGCGACUGAGUAAUUGGCUCAAGAUGGCACUUGUUAAAUGGAAGAGUGAUGGCUGACACUCUGAAUUCACUGUCUUAGCCUCUAUGUUUUAAGAAACUGUGAAUGUUUGUGUGUAUGUAGGUGUGCUUGUGUGUGUGCCUGGACAUUAGAACAUUAUGAAUUUUAGGGCAUAAUGGGGAAAAUGCAUAAUUGGGAAAAUGAAAUAUAUAUUAAGUAUAAAAUCCAACUUGAUUUGCUUUCUUUUCUCACUCACUAAAUGGAAAAGCAGCGGGGAUGGGGGAUGUAGCUCAGUGGUACAGCACUUGCUUAGCAUGUGAGAACCCUGGGUUUGAACAGUGUCUUUCUGCCAUUGAGUUUGUGAGCUUCAUUUUUCAGUACUUAAAUGUCCCAUGUAAAUUUUUCAUAAUGAAAUUAUGAAAAUAAAUAGAUAGAAGAAAUGUGAUUUCUCCUAAAGACUAUAAUAUAUAACUUAUUGAAGUGAAAAUAUUUAAGACUUUGUAGAAUAGCUCAAAUUAUU
RNAcentral lists this long non-coding RNA (706 nucleotides) under Marmota monax (woodchuck). The record is from RNAcentral. Lineage: Eukaryota; Metazoa; Chordata; Mammalia; Rodentia; Sciuridae.